AAAAACAUGUCCUUUUGAUAAUAAUUUAAGGUCUAACCUGCCCAAUGAGUAUUUCUUAAAUGGCCGCAGUAUUUUGACUGUGCAAAGGUAGCAUAAUCAAUAGUUUUUUAAUUGAAAGCUGGAAUGAAAGGUUUAAUGAGAAAAUAGCUGUCUCUAACAAAAUUUAUUAGAACUUUAUUAUUAAGUGAAAAUGCUUAGAUAUAAAUAGAAGACGAGAAGACCCUAUAGAGUUUUAUAUUUAUUUUUAUUUUAUAAUUUAGUAUUUUAAAUAUAUUAUAAAUAUAAGUAUUUAGUUGGGGUGAUUGAAAAAUUAAGUAAACUUUUUUUUAUUAUUACACAAAUUUGUGAGUAUAUGAUCCUUUUUUAAAGAUUAAAAGAUAAAAUUACCUUAGGGAUAACAGCGUUAUUUUUUUUGAGAGUUCUUAUCGAAAGAAAAGAUUGCGACCUCGAUGUUGGAUUAAAAUUAAUUUAUGGUGUAGGAGCUAUAAUAUUAGGUCUGUUCGACCUUUGAAAUUUUACUUGAUCUGAGUU
Molecule: ribosomal RNA, 531 nt
Filed under: Rhinoncus inconspectus
Lineage: Eukaryota; Metazoa; Arthropoda; Insecta; Coleoptera; Curculionidae
Description: partial 16S ribosomal RNA
Rfam family: Bacterial large subunit ribosomal RNA
Source: RNAcentral